CUACGUGCCAGCAGCCGCGGUAAUACGUAUGUCGCGAGCGUUAUCCGGAAUUAUUGGGCAUAAAGGGCAUCUAGGCGGCCUGACAAGUCAGGGGUGAAAACCUGCGGCUCAACCGCAGGCCUGCCUUUGAAACUGACAGGCUGGAGUACCGGAGAGGUGGACGGAACUGCACGAGUAGAGGUGAAAUUCGUAGAUAUGUGCAGGAAUGCCGAUGAUGAAGAUAGUUCACUGGACGGUAACUGACGCUGAAGUGCGAAAGCCGGGGGAGCGAACAGGAUUAGAUACCCUGGUAGUCCCGGCCGUAAACGAUGAUUACUGGGUGUGGGCAGGAAGACUGUCUGUGCCGAAGCAAAUGCGAUAAGUAAUCCGCCUGGGGAGUACGGCCGCAAGGCUGAAACUCAAAGGAAUUGACGGGGACCCGCACAAGCGGUGGAGCAUGUGGUUUAAUUCGACGCAACGCGAGGAACCUUACCAGAUCUUGACAUCCCG
Molecule: ribosomal RNA, 489 nt
Filed under: uncultured bacterium
Lineage: Bacteria
Description: bacterial SSU rRNA
Rfam family: Bacterial small subunit ribosomal RNA
Source: RNAcentral